AUGAGCCCCGAGCGGUUCGCGCCCAACGCCCAGGCCGGCCCGCGCGGGGCCUGCGCCGCCGACGUGUGGAGCCUCGGCGUCACCGUCCUGGAGCUCUUCUUGGGGCACCGCCCUGUCCUGCCUGCCGAACGGACGCCGUCCUGGAAGAUGCUCAAGGAGGCCAUCUGCUACGGCGAACCACCGGCGGUGCCGGAGAGCGCGGCGGCAUCGGCGGAGCUGCGCGGGUUCGUGGCCGCGUGCGUGCAGAAGGAUCCUCGGAGGCGCGCCACAGUGCCGCAGCUGCUCGCGCACCCGUUCGUGGCGCGCCGGAACGUCGAGGCAUCGCGCCGCGCGCUACGAGAGAUUAUCGUGGAGACCAUGUAG
RNAcentral lists this ribosomal RNA (363 nucleotides) under Triticum aestivum (bread wheat). RNAcentral describes it as "partial small subunit ribosomal RNA". The record is from RNAcentral. Lineage: Eukaryota; Viridiplantae; Streptophyta; Magnoliopsida; Poales; Poaceae.